This 555-nucleotide long non-coding RNA is filed under the name Bos taurus (domestic cattle). RNAcentral describes it as "long non-coding RNA NONBTAT002765". The record is from RNAcentral. Lineage: Eukaryota; Metazoa; Chordata; Mammalia; Artiodactyla; Bovidae.
CCAGGUUCUUUGUUAAGGAAAUUAGAUUUAAUAAAAUAUUGACAGUCAUACAGAAUUUAAGACUAAAAAAUAACAAGAUGAGUAAGAUAAAGCCAACCCUUCGUUUUGAGCUGUUUCAAUUUAAGGAGCCAGAUCCUACUUUAAUCCCAUAGCAAAUAGGGCAAUAAUGUAUAAAUAAAGACAAACUAUGUGGGAAGUGAUAAUAAAUUGGAUUGCUUUGCCUUGGAAUCAAUAGUGUAAAGAAGUGGCCUUGGUCCUGAAUUCAUGGACUGCUCUAGCCUUUCUAGCUUUGAACAGCCCCUCUCCCCAAGUAGUUCUAACAGGUUUGGCCUCCUGAAUUUCCCAUCUGCUUCAUCUUUCACUGCUUAUUACUGAUUUUUGCCACCUUUUUUUUUUUGGUCAUCUGUUCAGACGUUUCAUUCUCCCAAGUUCAGACGUUUCUGGGGAAAAUGCAAAAGCACAACUGCAGGUAGUCUGGACCUUCUAUUAUUUUUCUCAUUCUUUUACUGAACUUCACUGCUUAACCACAAACACUGCACUUUUCAUUGUUCUUAA